Molecule: ribosomal RNA, 254 nt
Filed under: uncultured bacterium
Lineage: Bacteria
Description: partial 16S ribosomal RNA
Rfam family: Bacterial small subunit ribosomal RNA
Source: RNAcentral
UACGUAGGGUGCAAGCGUUGUCCGGAAUUAUUGGGCGUAAAGAGCUCGUAGGCGGUCUGUCACGUCGGCUGUGAAAACCUGCAGCUUAACUGUGGGCGUGCGGUCGAUACGGGCAUCACUGGAGUUCGGCAGGGGAGACUGGAAUUCCUGGUGUAGCGGUGAUAUGCGCAGAUAUCAGGAGGAACACCGGUGGCGAAGGCGGGUCUCUGGGCAGUAACUGACGCUGAGGAGCGAAAGCGUGGGGAGCGAACAGG